GAUUCUGGCUCAGGAUGAACGCUAGCUACAGGCUUAACACAUGCAAGUCGAGGGGCAGCAUGAACUUAGCUUGCUAAGUUGAUGGCGACCGGCGCACGGGUGAGUAACGCGUAUCCAACCUUCCCCUUAGUAGGGCAUAGGCCCGGUGAAAAUCGGAUUAAUACCCUAUGUUUUCCAAUGAGGACAUCUGAGCUGGAACAAAGAUUCAUCGCUAAGGGAUGGGGAUGCGUCCGAUUAGGUUGUUGGCGGGGUAACGGCCCACCAAGCCUUCGAUCGGUAGGGUUCUGAGAGGAAGGUCCCCCACACUGGUACUGAGACACGGACCAGACUCCUACGGGAGGCAGCAGUGAGGAAUAUUGGUCAAUGGGCGAGAGCCUGAACCAGCCAAGCCAGCGUGCAGGACGACGGCCCUACGGGUUGUAAACUGCUUUUAUGCGGGGAUAAAGUGAGGGACGUGUCCCUUUUUGUAGGUACCGCAUGAAUAAGGACCGGCUAAUUCCGUGCCAGCAGCGGC
RNAcentral lists this ribosomal RNA (514 nucleotides) under uncultured bacterium. Its description in RNAcentral is "bacterial SSU rRNA". It matches the Rfam family "Bacterial small subunit ribosomal RNA", at positions 15 to 518 of the family's 1533-position model. The record is from RNAcentral.